UCCAGACUCCUACGUGAGGCAGCAGUGGGGAAUAUUGCACAAUGGGGGAAACCCUGAUGCAGCGACGCCGCGUGAGCGAUGAAGUAUUUCGGUAUGUAAAGCUCUAUCAGCAGGGAAGAAAAUGACGGUACCUGACUAAGAAGCCUCGGCUAACUACGUGCCAGCAGCCGCGGUAAUACGUAGGGGGCAAGCGUUAUCCGGAUUUACUGGGUGUAAAGGGGGCGCAGACAGCAAUGCAAGCCAGGAGUGAAAGCCCGGGGCGCAACCCCGGGACUGCUCUUGGAACUGCAGGGCUGGAGUACAGGAGGGGGAGGCGGAAUUCCUAGUGUAGCGGUGAAAUGCGUAGAUAUUAGGAGGAACACCGGUGGCGAAGGCGGAUUGCUGGACAGUAACUGACGCUGAGGCGCGAAAGCGUGGGGAGCAAACAGGAUUAGAUGCCCCCGUAAC
RNAcentral lists this ribosomal RNA (447 nucleotides) under uncultured bacterium. RNAcentral describes it as "bacterial SSU rRNA". It matches the Rfam family "Bacterial small subunit ribosomal RNA", at positions 330 to 794 of the family's 1533-position model. The record is from RNAcentral.